UAUGGGAUAGCUCAGCAGGUAGAGUAGAGGACUAAAAAUCCUCAUGUCACGAGUUCAAAUAUGGUCCCUAUGC
This is a transfer RNA of Beta vulgaris subsp. vulgaris (sugar beet), 73 nucleotides long. It matches the Rfam family "tRNA". Rfam says of the family: Transfer RNA (tRNA) molecules are approximately 80 nucleotides in length. Their secondary structure includes four short double-helical elements and three loops (D, anti-codon, and T loops). Further hydrogen bonds mediate the characteristic L-shaped molecular structure. tRNAs have two regions of fundamental functional importance: the anti-codon, which is responsible for specific mRNA codon recognition, and the 3' end, to which the tRNAs corresponding amino acid is attached (by aminoacyl-tRNA synthetases). tRNAs cope with the degeneracy of the genetic code in two manners: having more than one tRNA (with a specific anti-codon) for a particular amino acid; and 'wobble' base-pairing, i.e. permitting non-standard base-pairing at the 3rd anti-codon position. Lineage: Eukaryota; Viridiplantae; Streptophyta; Magnoliopsida; Caryophyllales; Amaranthaceae. The record is from Rfam.